UUCUUCGUUGCAUGGCACUCAUCAAGACCAAUAGGAUGAGGACCGUGCAUGCUGCACUUUGCAUUAUGCUUGUGAUAAUGUCUUCAACACUGUCAUCUUGUGAGGAAGAUGAGAAAGUAUGUUUCCAAUGUGAAAAAUGCAGUUUCCUGCUUGCCAAGCUCAAAUGCUUUCUGGAGGCCAAAAGACAAGGCAAAGUUUGCGUCAGCGCCACCUGUAACACACCUACCGAGUGCGGAUGCGUCUUUCUUAAGAGAUAACAUCCAGCCCUUAUCACUGGUGUUGGUAAGGCUGCUGGGGAGAACGAUAAUAGAUUCCUUUCAUGAAUGAAGCCGGUAUAUAGUUAUAAUACUCUUCCAUGUAAUGCUUCCAUGAACUGUGUUUCGAUAUAAUUAAACAUCUAUCUGUCCCCAAUUAAAGGUUUUCAUCGUAUA
Molecule: long non-coding RNA, 431 nt
Organism: Sorghum bicolor (sorghum)
Lineage: Eukaryota; Viridiplantae; Streptophyta; Magnoliopsida; Poales; Poaceae
Exons: 2
Source: RefSeq, a predicted model, not a curated record